UCCUAGAGAUCGCCAGGGCAGAAGUGGGGGAACCAUGUUCCUCCGGGCCCGCGCGCAGCGCGCGCCCUUGGGGUUAAGCCAGCCAUUUCCCGAGCGUCCUCGGAAGAAAGGCUGGCCGGGCUUCCCGGCCCGAACCCGACAGCUAACCUCACAGGCGUGCGGGAAAGAUUCC
This 172-nucleotide small RNA is filed under the name Pseudofrankia inefficax. RNAcentral describes it as "Frankia inefficax c-di-AMP sequence". It matches the Rfam family "c-di-AMP riboswitch aptamer (ydaO/yuaA leader)". Rfam says of the family: This family represents a conserved RNA structure found upstream of the ydaO and yuaA genes in Bacillus subtilis and related genes in other bacteria. Lineage: Bacteria; Bacillati; Actinomycetota; Actinomycetes; Frankiales; Frankiaceae. The record is from Rfam by way of RNAcentral.